GAUGAACGCUGCGGCGUGCCUAAUACAUGCAAGUCGAGCGGACAGACGAGGAGCUUGCUCCUCUGACGUUAGCGGCGGACGGGUGAGUAACACGUGGAUAACCUACCUAUAAGACUGGGAUAACUUCGGGAAACCGGAGCUAAUACCGGAUAAUAUAUUGAACCGCAUGGUUCAAUAGUGAAAGACGGUUUUGCUGUCACUUAUAGAUGGAUCCGCGCCGCAUUAGCUAGUUGGUAAGGUAACGGCUUACCAAGGCAACGAUGCGUAGCCGACCUGAGAGGGCGAUCGGCCACACUGGAACUGAGACACGGUCCAGACUCCUACGGGAGGCAGCAGUAGGGAAUCUUCCGCAAUGGGCGAAAGCUUGACGGAGCAACGCCGCGUGAGUGAUGAAGGUCUUCGGAUCGUAAAACUCUGUUAUUAGGGAAGAACAAAUGUGUAAGUAACUAUGCACGUCUUGACGGUACCUAAUCAGAAAGCCACGGCUAACUACGUG
RNAcentral lists this ribosomal RNA (496 nucleotides) under uncultured bacterium. RNAcentral describes it as "partial 16S ribosomal RNA". It matches the Rfam family "Bacterial small subunit ribosomal RNA", at positions 28 to 507 of the family's 1533-position model. The record is from RNAcentral.